CUCCGGCUUUAAAAUUGUACAUAUAUCGCUUCGUUUUGAAAAUGUCUUAAAUAUAACGUUACAUCAAGGUCGUUCGCUGUGCAACUUUUAAAUGUCCAUGUGUUUUCGCUAGUACGUUCUGGGUAAACAGACAGAAAGACAGACAGAAUAGCGAACUUCUUAUAGUGGUUUAGUGGCUAAAGGAAUAGUUAAGAAAUAGAAAGUUUUACUACGCUGAUUAAGAAUGAAAAUCGCAGUUCUCCUUCUUCUGGUGUGUAUUGCAAAAUUUUGUGAUUUUUCAGACAGUUGUUGCAUGAAAAGUGGACGCUGUUCGAAGAAUAGUGAUUGUUGCCUAUUUCAUUUUUGCGCCUAUAUUAAUUUGAAGAGCAGAAGAUGUAUUCCACAUGGAAAAUAAAAAAUGAAGUAUGUUAUAGGGCGCUGAAAAAUAAUACGUAGCUUUCGGGAU
Physella acuta is the source of this 445-nucleotide long non-coding RNA. RefSeq lists it as uncharacterized. The record is from RefSeq and is a predicted model, not a curated record. Lineage: Eukaryota; Metazoa; Mollusca; Gastropoda; Physidae.